UUAGCGGAACAGUCCUUUUCUAAUUAGCUUUCCCUCUUUAAACUUCAGACUCUUCCCCUACAAAAGUCCAUGGACCGACACUUUUGCCUUAUAAUAUCACUAUAUAUACUUUGCUCUCCUUUUCAACUUCCCACUUCCACCAAUCCCUUCUCUUCUCUUGUUUUUCUUUCUUUGGCUAACCAUGGAAAUUUUUCUUGAAUUCAUGUUUACUAUUUCUUUUUCUUUUGUUAUUUCCUUCCUUCUGGCUAAGCUUCUUUCCUUUUCGUCUAUCAUUGAUCAACAUCUAGAGAUCGUGUCGAGAUUAUAUGCGGAAGUCAAAACUGAAUCAGAAAAACAUGAAUUUGAAGAAGUUGAUGCUUUAUGUGAAUCCGUGGAAGAAAUUGGUACCCAGGAAGAGUCUUCGAAUGGUGGUGAAGAAUUAAUUAGAGAAACAGAGGGAACUGUUGAAGGAAUUAGUUCAUCUGAAGAGAAUUUUGUUAGUGAAACCACUGAGAUUGAACUAGCUAAAGAGGAUGAAGAAGGGAUUGAGGAUUUGGUGUGUGAUAAAGAGAAUGGAGGAGGUUUCUUCUUGGAGGGGUCAUCAUCAUCAUCUGAUGAUGAUGAUUGGGAGGGUAUUGAACGAACCGAAUUGGAGAAAGAUUUUGGUGCAGCGGUGAGUUUUUUGGUGCAAAAAAGUAAUGCUGAUCAAGUUUUGAAACUUGGCAAUGAUUUAAAGAUGCAAUUGUAUGGACUUCACAAGAUUGCCACUCAAGGGCCUUGCCACGAGCCUCAGCCGAUGCCAUUCAAGUUAUCUGCUCGUGCAAAGUGGAAUGCCUGGAAAAAACUUGGUAACAUGAGUCCAGAAGCAGCGAUGGAGUUGUAUAUCACCCUUGUUUCAAGAAGCAUCCCUGGGUGGCUGCAACCUGACAUUUGUGGGGAUGGUAAACAGGAUUAUGUAGAUGCCAAAGCCUCUAGCAAGCCACCUUUGGAUGUCAAAAAAAUGGCAGUGAACCAAGCUAUAGAUGUGGAUUACAGGACUUCUAAUGAGUUAAUGACUAACAUUCAAAAUAUUGACUGGAUGAAACCUGCUGUCUAUACUCCAUGAAUAAGUGGUAUGCUUUAAACGUGUUGACACAAUUACACUUUGCAAGACAUGCUAACAAAAUGUGUCAAAUCUGGAAAUUUUGAGGAAACUAAAUGACUGCAAAAAUGUUAAAUACUUGAUGAUGGUGCAAGCAUAUUACGUUAUGUGAUUUGAGCUGCACUCAGCACGAAUUCCAGAGGAUCGUUUUUUUAUUGCCAGUUUGAUAUUCAUCAACCUGCUUUGAAUCAUCUCAAAAAUCUCAGUUACAUCUACAAACAACAAUGGAUAAGGAGGAGUUUGGAUCAGGAUUAUUAGGAGCUUCUUAGUUAUAUAUAUAUAAAGUAUAUAUUAGACUGUUGAUAAAGAAUAAAAGAACUAACAAAUUUGUCAAAUAACAUAGACCCUCAUUCUUGAUUCCCAUUUAGGGCAGAUAUUUGUCAUUCAUUGGUUCAUUCUUUUCUCUCAAUACAUAUUUGCAUUUGUACAGCUUUCAGCUUUGUGAUUUUUGGUUUGAGUUUGGGAUUGUGAUGCCUUUUCCAUGAUUCUUAA
This is an RNA transcript of Gossypium arboreum, 1612 nucleotides long. It is a transcript of the gene named acyl-CoA-binding domain-containing protein 3-like, with no coding region annotated. NCBI's taxonomy places the organism in Eukaryota, Viridiplantae, Streptophyta, Magnoliopsida, Malvales, Malvaceae. The transcript has 6 exons. The record is from RefSeq and is a predicted model, not a curated record.